UUGAUCCUGGCUCAGAAUCAACGCUGGCGGCGUGCCUAACACAUGCAAGUCGAACGCGAAAGUGGAGCAAUCCAUGGGUAGAGUGGCAAACGGGUGAGUUACGCGUGGGUGACCUGCCUUCGAGUGGGGGAUAACGUUCCGAAAGGGACUCUAAUACCGCAUGACAUCCGGCCUUUGAAGAGGCGGAGAUCAAAGCUGGUGAUCGCAAGACCUAGCGCUCGAUGAGGGGCCCGCGUCUGAUUAGCUAGUUGGUGGGGUAACGGCUCACCAAGGCAACGAUCAGUAUCCGGCCUGAGAGGUCGGACGGACACACUGGGACUGAGACACGGCCCAGACUCCUACGGGAGGCUGCAGUGGGGAAUUGUUCGCAAUGGGCGCAAGCCUGACGACGCAACGCCGUGUGGAGGAUGAAGACCUUCGGGUCGUAAACUCCUUUCGAUCGAGACGAAUAGCCUUCGGGUGAACAAUCCGGAGGUCUGACGGUACCGAGAGAAGAAGCUCCGGCUAACUCCGUGCCAGCAGCCGCGGUAAUAAGGU
Molecule: ribosomal RNA, 537 nt
Filed under: uncultured Acidobacteriota bacterium
Lineage: Bacteria; Pseudomonadati; Acidobacteriota
Description: bacterial SSU rRNA
Rfam family: Bacterial small subunit ribosomal RNA
Source: RNAcentral